This 252-nucleotide ribosomal RNA is filed under the name uncultured prokaryote. RNAcentral describes it as "partial 16S ribosomal RNA". It matches the Rfam family "Bacterial small subunit ribosomal RNA", at positions 525 to 775 of the family's 1533-position model. The record is from RNAcentral.
ACGUCUUUUUCUCGCUUUUUUCUGAAUUACUGGGCGUAAAGGGCGCGUAGGCGGUUUGGUAAGUUAGGCGUGAAAGGCCCGGGCUCAACCCGGGAACUGCGCUUAAGACUGCCGGGCUGUGAGUCCGGGAGAGGAUGGCGGAAUUCCCAGUGUAGAGGUGAAAUUCGUAGAUAUUGGGAAGAACACCAGUGGCGAAGGCGGCCAUCUGGCCCGGUACUGACGCUGAGGCGCGAAAGCGUGGGGAGCAAACAG